UGCUCUGUGUGAACGAAUCGCCUAGAGGGUACGAGCCCGCCAGUGGCAGGUCUCUGAGGUCGUUGCCAUGACUACGACCUUUCCGAGACAGCCGCUGCCAUUUUGGCUCCGGUUUUCCCGUGACUGUCGCUGGAGUGCGGUGUGUGUCUUCGCCGAAACUUUGCAUUUCAAAAUAAACAGACUGAUAAACAAAAUACAUGUAAAGGCCAAUUAUUGGACAUCUGUACUCGGGACUGAGUUCUCUCUUCAUAUAAAUGAACCAGAAAUGACACACCCUUGAAAGAAACUAAAGCGAAACAUCCAAUAAACUAGAGUGGCCAAUGGAUGCCCCUUUACACUGAAAGGCCGCUUUUUUGAGUCCAUCUGCCCUUCACAAAUUAUUGAUGUUAAGUUACUGACAGCCUCGCAUGCUUAGACAAUGCCGUUUUAAGACACAGGUUGCCAGGGACUGGCAUACUGUGCACAUGUGCAAUUCAGGGGAAGAAUGGGCAAGACGAAAGACUUAAGUGCCUUUGAACGUGGUAUGGUAGUGGGUGCCAGAUGUGCUGGCAUGAGUGUAUCAGAAACCUCAAACCUUUUGGGGUUUUCACGUACAACAGUGUCACGAGUGUAUCGAGAAUGGGCUGCCACUCAAAAAACAUCCAGUCAACGGUGGACUUGUGGUCGGAAGCAGACUGUGGAUAAAACGGGCAAAGAGAGGCUGACACAACUUGUGCAAAGUAACAGGGAGGCUACAAUCCGCCAGUUAACAGCCGAGUACAACAGUGGAGCUAAAAGAGUGAUAUCAGAACGUACCACUCGUCGUACCCUGGCACAGAUGGGAUAUACAAAAGUUAGCACACUAUGUCGGAAAUAGAUGCUUUCAGAAUAAAUUAAUCAAGGUACUUGUACAAACGACAAUAACCGUAUAUUUAAACACACAGGAAAAGUAAAGGAUGGCACAUAAAAUACAAAAAGAAAAAUUGAACACAAUUGCUACGCUGUCUUUUGCAUAGAAUGGAAUCCUCAUAUACAGUAUAAAAUACCACAAUCAUAAAUGUGGACAGUGGCACCGUGAAAAGAACACCACUGAUAGUGACAGUGUGAAAGCAAUAAAGGUACUGGAAUGUAAUAAAUUUAUAUUUCUGAAAAUUCAAGAUGAGCCACCAUCAGGCCAUUCGUUGUUUUUAGACCCACAAAAUUUUAUUUUAGAGUCCUAGGAGGUCGGAGUCAAUUCUGGCAAAACUGAGUACAUGGCAGGACAAAUUUAUACACCUGCUCAUAUCAUAUCCAGUUCAUAAUAUCUGUUUGCUGAAAUGUAAUCAGUAAAGAGUUCAAUGCACAGGAUUUGUCAAAUGUAAUAUAUAUAUAUAUAUAUAUAUAUAUAUAUAUAUAUAUAUAAAAUGUAUGUGUGUGUAUAUGUAUAUAUAUAUAUAUAUAUAUAAAUACAGGAAAAAUUAAAACUGAGUGAGUUGUGCAAAAAGUUGGACAUUAAUAAUUAGGAAUAAUGAAAGUGAAAUCUUAGUAAAAGAAAAAAGACUGAAUACAUGCAGAGAACAUAUAAACAUUCAGUCAAAAAGCAAAUUUUAAUUGAAAUCAUUUUAAACAGCAUAAUAAGAAAUAAAAAAUCUGUGUAUAUUAGGAACUUCCAGUGUGUUCACCUUGAAGUAAGUCAGCCAAUACUUCUGUGCAGUACAUCUGCAGCCCCUUUAGAGGUGUGGUCACCGCCCUCACAACUCUUCUGAUUGGCUGGGACAUCAUGUGUUGUUUUUUUUUUUUUUUUUAAAACAUACACAGCCCCAUAAAAAUGGUGGUGACAAUGACGGAGGUAUCUUAUGGUUAUUCAGAACUUCACAAUUGUCAUUUUCAGUCUUAAGAGACAAAGAUGUGCUGGAAUUAUUUUAGGUCACCUCUGUGUUUCAAGCUGCCGUCUUGUUAACGCUCUUGCUAUUGACCACAUUGCAGUGUGUCUUUCAGCUCACCUUUCUUUUAAGAAUGUUUAAUUUUUAGAAUACCAAUGGAAACAAUGCUGGAUUGAUCACCAACUUUCUAGAUGCUUGGUUACACUCAUUAAACUAUGAGAAUUUGUUUGA
Molecule: long non-coding RNA, 2072 nt
Organism: Erpetoichthys calabaricus (reedfish)
Lineage: Eukaryota; Metazoa; Chordata; Cladistia; Polypteriformes; Polypteridae
Exons: 3
Source: RefSeq, a predicted model, not a curated record